AUGAAGAUGAGGCUCCUCGACGCACUCCGUUGCAUGCUUGCGCUGUCGUUGCUACGAACUGCAACGGCACGAGCAUCCAGUGUGCAAAGAAGCCAAGCCGGCUGCCAGGAGAGCUGUGGCAACCUGAGUUUCCAGUAUCCAUUCGGCAUAGGGGUGGGUUGCUUCCGGCCACCAGAGCGAGACUUUGAGCUCAUCUGCAACAACAUGCACGGUGCUUUGCAGUCCCCCAGACUAUUCCUGCACGACGGCAUCACGGAGGUCACCGGUGAUAUCAUCACCGGCGAUGCCAGACAAGAAAUCGAGGUAUCAUUUUCUCAUUCCCUCUCCGUGAGAUCUGAGGUCGACGCGUACAGCAUCACCUGGAAUCCUAGGAAAUCUCCCGGUAGAUAUGUUUCAGCACUAAGCUUCACUGGUUGCGACUUCGACAUGUACGUGCUAGAGCAUGGCACGAACAAGACGGUGGGUCAGUGCACUGCUACAUGCCCUGUCAAAGAUAUCACGGAUACGGUGGCUUGGCAGUAUUGCAACGGUACAGGAUGUUGCUUCACCAACGUCGAUGCCGAGUUUGCUACAGGCAUCGAGAUAAAGUUUGUCCGCCACAAGAUUGGACAGCUGAAGUUCCAAGCGAACAGCAACCGAAGCUCUAUAUGGCAUACAGUUGAUGUAACCGCUGAUUCCAUUAUUAUGUGGGGUAUCAUCGUUAAUGAACAUGGCCCCUUGCAAAACAGCACAGAUUAUGCAUGUCUCAGCAAACGUAGCAGCAGUCACCAGUUCAUAUCAUCUGUCGCUUAUGCUUGCGUGUGCGACAGUGGUUACCGAGGUAAUCCGUACAUAACUGAUGGCUGCUCGCGUGACAAAGGAUAUGAUCCAGUACAACGGAAGACCAACUGCUCUAGAUGGUGUGGGGAAAUCAAUGUCCCUUUCCCAUUUGGCUUAGAGGACGGUUGUUCUGCAAGGACGUCAUUUCAGCUCAAUUGUACAAAUUCGUCCACGUCUACCCUCCAGUUUCUUGUCGAGUCCUACGGUAUACACAACACUUAUGUAAAGUACAUAAAUAUCAUGAAGGGGCUAGUGAAUGUUAAAUACAGCUUAUAUGAUGAACAUGCCCAUUCGGUACGUAUACCUAAAGAUCCUGGCCUCUAUGUUACCUCCUGGGAAGUUGCAUCACAGCUGUGGGCUGUAGCCAAUUUAACAUGCCAGGAAGCACAGAAGAAUAGAACCGGAUAUGCAUGUGUUAGCAUUAAUAGCACAUGCUUGGGUGUCAACUCCGAACAAGUUUAUGUCGGUUACCAUUGCAAAUGUAUGGCCGGCUUUUAUGGGAAUCCAUAUAUAGCGGAUGGGUGUCAAGAUGUUGAUGAGUGCAAGAUACCAGACACAUGUAAUUGGAUUUGCCAUAACACUGUAGGAAGUCAUUAUUGCACCGAAUGUCCUAGCAAUACAGUGUACAACACAGCAACAAAGACAUGCACAUCAAUCAAACAAAAUCUGGUACUAGGUAUCACCAUUGGGAUUACCGUUGGUUUCGGAACUCUACUUCUCAUCUUAAUUGUAAUAUUUUCCAUUCUUAUAUGGAGAAAAGGCAUCCAGAAGCAACUACGAAGAAAGCAUUUUCGGCAGAACCAAGGUCUACUCCUUGAACAAUUGAUAUCAUCAGAUGAAUAUGCGAGUGACAACACUAAGAUUUUCUCACUAUCAGAGUUAGAAAAGGCAACAAAUAACUUUGAUCCCACACGUAUUGUUGGUCGUGGAGGGCAUGGCAUGGUUUAUAAAGGCAUCUUAUCCGACCAACGGGUAGUAGCCAUAAAGAAGUCUAAAGUCAUUGAGCAGGUUGAGAUAAGCCAGUUUAUCAAUGAGGUUGAUGUCCUCUCCCAGGUAAAUCACCGGAAUAUUGUGAAGCUCUUCGGUUGUUGUCUUGAGACAGAAGUCCCACUGCUAGUGUAUGACUUCAUCCCUAAUGGUUCAUUAUUUGGAAUCCUUCAUCCCAGUACCACUAGCAGCUCUGUCUUGUCAUGGGAUGAUUGUUUGAAAAUUGCUGCAGAAGCUGCUGGAGCACUCUAUUACCUCCACUCAGCUGCUUCAGUAUCAAUAUUCCAUCGUGAUGUGAAGUCCACUAACAUACUCUUAGAUGGAAAUUACACUGCAAAAGUAUCAGAUUUUUGCGCUUCAAGGUUGGUUCCUAUUGACCAAACUCAUGUCGUUACAAAUAUACAAGGCACAUUUGGAUACUUGGAUCCAGAAUAUUACCACACGGGUAUAUUGAAUGAGAAGAGUGACGUCUAUAGUUUUGGCGUAGUACUUGUAGAGUUGCUGCUCACGAAGAAGCCUAUUUUUACAAGUGACUCUGGGCUAAAGCAAAACUUGUCCAACUACUUCCUUUGGGAGAUGAGGGAGAAACCACUCGCAGAAAUAGUAGCUACUCAAGUUCUGGAGGAAGCAACAAUUGAAGAGAUUAAUGAUGUCUCUAGUCUUGCAGAGACUUGUUUGAGACUACGAGGCGAAGAGAGACCUACAAUGAAACAAGUCGAAAUGAAAUUGCAGUAUGUGCGAUCCAAAAGGUUGAGAGCAUGCCAGGUUGCUGUGACAAAUGAAUACAUGCAACCCUUAAUAUGUGGACAAAGCCAAGACACUCUUCUGAUGUUGACUACUCCGAGUGGUAUAGCAGACAGAGUUAAUAUAGCUUCUCAAAGGAACCAAAAUUGCUACAGCUUGGAGCAAGAGUUCAUGGCAUCGGCGACUCUCCCACGCUAG
RNAcentral lists this ribosomal RNA (2748 nucleotides) under Triticum aestivum (bread wheat). RNAcentral's name for it is "partial small subunit ribosomal RNA". The record is from RNAcentral. Lineage: Eukaryota; Viridiplantae; Streptophyta; Magnoliopsida; Poales; Poaceae.